Non-coding RNA from Callithrix jacchus (white-tufted-ear marmoset), 1169 nucleotides. Lineage: Eukaryota; Metazoa; Chordata; Mammalia; Primates; Cebidae. The record is from RefSeq and is a predicted model, not a curated record.
AUGUCUGGUGGGGAGUAGGGCAUACAGAAGACCGGAGGACCUGUCACUCCAGGGCUCCUUGAGGUCCUUGACCUCAUGCUAAAUUUUCAUUUCCAAGAACCUCUCUUCACCCACCCCAUCCCAGUCUCCAAGACCAUCCUCUGCAAAAGCAAAACACAUUCCAUUGUUUAAAUGGGAAAUGUCCAAAAAGCCUUUCUUGCUGACCAGGCAGGAAUGUUUGGGGCAGCGCUUAUCCCUGCCCUCAUCCCUCAUGUUGCCAAAAACCCUCCCAUCUCCCCAGCCAGUAGAGUGUCAGCUACACAGCCAACGCCUUCUUCCAAAGAAUUCCAGAGGCCCUUAGAGGCCAAAUCCUUCUGUCAUGAUUGCACUUCAGAAUGAAUGUCAUUCCUUUUGAAAUGCCUUGUUAAACAGCCACCCCUCUCUCCAAUAGAACUUCCCAAAGCCCUAGCACUCGCCUAUAGCAGCACGGCUUCAAGUAAGGCUCAACGAUGCUGAAACCAGACCAGCCAGAUGUUUCUUAUCAGUGUUGCAAUUGGGGCGACAAUGACAAGCUGUCACACAGCUCCUUCUCAGUUUAAAAUCCUUGCCUGGCUCCCCAGAGCCUCCAGAUGAAAUGCAGAGGAUCAGGCCUGAGCCGCAGGACCCCUCAAAACCUGCCUGCUGCUCCCCCAUCCCCCACUCCCCACUUCUCUCCAACACGCACUUAAUGCUCCAGCUACAUGGAGUGGCACACAGCCCGCAAAGCCCUGAAGUCUUCCCCAUGCUAGGUCCUCUUCCUGGAAUUCCCUUCCCCGCCUAAGAAGCAAGGAUGUGCUCCCUCUGCCAGACUCCAGCCAUAUGUGUGUUUUCAUCUCAGUACUGCCAAGGCCUGCCGUAGAGAGGUACUUGGGAUUUGAUAAGCUAUGUUACUAGCUGUGUGACCUUGGCCAAGUUAUUUAACCUCUCUGUGCUCCAGCUUCCUCAUCUGAAAAAGGGAGAUGAAGGUAACAUACCUUAGAGGGUUGUUUGUGAGUACUAAAUCAGGUAACAUAUGUAAACAGCUUAGAACCCUGCCUGCCGUACAGCACAUGCUUAAUAAAUGUUACCUCACAGUAAUCAUUUCUUUGGUGCAGGUGAGUGAUUUUUGAAGAUCUCUUCUACAUAAUAGACAAUGAACUAUGUUUAAGGUA